GAUGAACGCUAGCGGCAGGCUUAAUACAUGCAAGUCGAGGGGCAGCGCAGUGUACCAAUACCCGUGCGGCGACCGGCAACGGGUUCGGAACCCGUACGCAACCUACCCAUAACUACUGAAAAGCCCUCCGAAAGGAGGAUUAAUUCAUCGUAACUUAAUUAAGCGGCAUCGCUUUAUUAAUAUAGCCGCUGCGGUUUUGGAUGAGCGUGCGCCUGAUUAGGUAGUUGGCGGGGUAACGGAUCACCAAGACUGCGAUCAGUAACUGGUGUGAGAGCACGACCAGUCACACGGGCACUGAGACACGGGCCCGACGCCUACGGGAGGCAGCAGUAAGGAAUAUUGGUCAAUGGACGCAAGUCUGAACCAGCCAUGCAGCGUGAAGGAUGAAGGUCCUCUGGAUUGUAAACUUCUUGUGAAUGGGACGAAACCUCUUUCUCUUGAGAGACUGACGGUACCAUAAGAAUAAGCACCGGCUAACUCCGUG
This 484-nucleotide ribosomal RNA is filed under the name uncultured bacterium. RNAcentral's name for it is "partial 16S ribosomal RNA". It matches the Rfam family "Bacterial small subunit ribosomal RNA", at positions 28 to 507 of the family's 1533-position model. The record is from RNAcentral.